GACGAACGCUGGCGGCGUGCUUAACACAUGCAAGUCGAACGAAAAGAGGGAAAGAGCUUGCUCUUUCCGGAAUUGAGUGGCAAACGGGUGAGUAACACGUAAACAACCUGCCUUCAGGAUGGGGACAACAGACGGAAACGACUGCUAAUACCGAAUAAGUUCCAAGGGCCGCAUGGCCCAUGGAAGAAAAGGUGGCCUCUACCUGUAAGCUAUCGCCUGAAGAGGGGUUUGCGGCUGAUUAGCUGGUUGGAGGGGUAACGGCCCACCAAGGCGGCGAUCAGUAGCCGGUCUGAGAGGAUGAACGGCCACACUGGAACUGAGACACGGUCCAGACUCCUACGGGAGGCAGCAGUGGGGAAUCUUCCGCAAUGGGCGGAAGCCUGACGGAGCAACGCCGCGUGAGUGAUGACGGCCUUCGGGUUGUAAAACUCUGUGAUCCGGGACGAAAAGGCAGAGUGCGAAGAACAAACUGCAUUGACGGUACCGGAAAAGCAAGCCACGGCUAACUACGUG
This 513-nucleotide ribosomal RNA is filed under the name uncultured bacterium. Its description in RNAcentral is "partial 16S ribosomal RNA". It matches the Rfam family "Bacterial small subunit ribosomal RNA", at positions 28 to 507 of the family's 1533-position model. The record is from RNAcentral.